CCUACGGGAGGCAGCAGUGGGGAAUAUUGCACAAUGGGGGAAACCCUGAUGCAGCGACGCCGCGUGAGUGAAGAAGUAUUUCGGUAUGUAAAGCUCUAUCAGCAGGGAAGAAAAUGACGGUACCUGAUUAAGAAGCCCCGACUAACUACGUGCCAGCAACCGCGGUAAUACGUAGGGGGCAAGCGUUAUCCGGAUUUACUGGGUGUAAAGGGAGCGUAGACGGCAGCACAAGUCUGGAGUGAAAGGCCGGGGCUUAACCCAGGAACUGCUUUGGAAACUGUGCAGCUAGAAUUACAGAGAGGAUAGUGGAAUACCCAGGGUAGAGGUGAAAUUCGUAGAUAUUGGGUAGAACACCAGUGGCGAAGGCGACUAUCUGGCUGUACAGUGACGCUGAGGCUCGAAAGCAUGGGGAUCAAACAGGAUUAGAUACCCUGUAGUC
Molecule: ribosomal RNA, 439 nt
Filed under: uncultured bacterium
Lineage: Bacteria
Description: partial 16S ribosomal RNA
Rfam family: Bacterial small subunit ribosomal RNA
Source: RNAcentral